CAUGCCGCGUGUGUGAAGAAGGCUUUCGGGUUGUAAAGCACUUUCAGUGAGGAGGAAACCUUAUGGCUAACACCUAUGAGGCUUGACGUUACUCACAGAAGAAGCACCGGCUAACUCCGUGCCAGCAACUGCGGUGACUGAGCGGGCUGGCAAGGCGCAUA
Molecule: ribosomal RNA, 161 nt
Filed under: uncultured bacterium
Lineage: Bacteria
Description: partial 16S ribosomal RNA
Rfam family: Bacterial small subunit ribosomal RNA
Source: RNAcentral